AUGUUGGAUGAGGGUACAAAGCCUAAUAUAUUCACAUAUACUAGCCUAAUAAAUGGUCUUUGCCAUAAUGACAGACUUUCUGAAGCUGUGACAUUGUUUAAGCAUAUGAUUUGGGAAGGAUUGACACCAGACAGGAUUUUGUAUACAUCUCUUAUUGAUUGCUAUUGUAAGCGUUCAAACAUGAAGGCAGCUUUGGAAAUUUUUAGAGAGAUGGGGAAAGGGGGUUUAUCAGCAGAUGCUUUUGUCUAUACUUGUUUAAUUGGUGGGUUUAGUAAAGUGCUUGCGAUGGAUGGUGCGCGGUGGUUGAUGGAAGAAAUGAUAAAUAAGGGGCUUUCACCUACUGUAGUAACUUAUACAGAUAUCAUAGUUGGAUACUGCAAAACUGGAGAUGAGAAGAAAGCUCAUAUGAUGUAUAACAGUAUGCUCCAGGCAGGCAUUACACCGGAUGACAAGCUGAGUAGUAUAUUGGGAUUUGGCAAUGAUGGAGAUAGUUUUCAGGACUACCAGGAAGAGAAGGAUAUAUCAUAA
This 528-nucleotide ribosomal RNA is filed under the name Triticum aestivum (bread wheat). Its description in RNAcentral is "partial small subunit ribosomal RNA". The record is from RNAcentral. Lineage: Eukaryota; Viridiplantae; Streptophyta; Magnoliopsida; Poales; Poaceae.